This 200-nucleotide unclassified non-coding RNA is filed under the name soil metagenome. RNAcentral describes it as "partial contains 5.8S ribosomal RNA, internal transcribed spacer 2, and large subunit ribosomal RNA". The record is from RNAcentral.
UGGUAUUCCGGAGGGCAUGCCUGUUUGAGUGUCAUGUAGACUCAUCUAAUCAGAUUUUCUGACUAUGAUGGAUUUGGGGGGUUGCCUUUGUUGGCUCUCCUUAAAAGCAUUAUGCAGACGUAAUAAGUUUCGUCGUACGCAUAUCUACAUUAUAUUUGUACUCUGACCUCAAAUCAGGUAGGGCUACCCGCUGAACUUAA